ACUCAUACCUUGCAGGGGAAAUACCAUGUCAUAAAAGUGGUUUUCCCAGGGGGGAGGCUCAUCCAUUGCACUUAGGUGUUCUGCUGAUCCCUAUGAUUUCCCCAAAUAUGGGAACUCAUUUGCAUAAUUUGUGUUAAUGGGGGAUUGCCCUUGUGAUUUCCCUAG
Molecule: small nuclear RNA, 165 nt
Filed under: Pogona vitticeps (central bearded dragon)
Lineage: Eukaryota; Metazoa; Chordata; Lepidosauria; Squamata; Agamidae
Description: U1 spliceosomal RNA (ENSPVIG00000013646.1)
Rfam family: U1 spliceosomal RNA
About the family: U1 is a small nuclear RNA (snRNA) component of the spliceosome (involved in pre-mRNA splicing). Its 5' end forms complementary base pairs with the 5' splice junction, thus defining the 5' donor site of an intron.
Source: Rfam by way of RNAcentral